CGGCCCUACACAUGCAAGUCGAGCGGUAACAGGGGUAGCUUGCUACCCGCUGACGAGCGGCGGACGGGUGAGUAAUGCAUAGGAAUCUGCCCGAUAGUGGGGGAUAACCUGGGGAAACCCAGGCUAAUACCGCAUACGUCCUACGGGAGAAAGGGGGCUCCGGCUCCCGCUAUUGGAUGAGCCUAUGUCGGAUUAGCUAGUUGGUGAGGUAAAGGCUCACCAAGGCGACGAUCCGUAGCUGGUCUGAGAGGAUGAUCAGCCACAUCGGGACUGAGACACGGCCCGAACUCCUACGGGAGGCAGCAGUGGGGAAUAUUGGACAAUGGGCGAAAGCCUGAUCCAGCCAUGCCGCGUGUGUGAAGAAGGCCCUCGGGUUGUAAAGCACUUUCAGCGAGGAAGAACGCCUAGUGGUUAAUACCCAUUAGGAAAGACAUCACUCGCAGAAGAAGCACCGGCUAACUCCGUGCCAGCAGCCGCGGUAAUACGGAGGGUGCAAGCGUUAAUCGGAAUUACUGGGCGUAAAGCGCGCGUAGGUGGCUUGAUAAGCCGGUUGUGAAAGCCCCGGGCUCAACCUGGGAACGGCAUCCGGAACUGUCAAGCUAGAGUG
Molecule: ribosomal RNA, 607 nt
Rfam family: Bacterial small subunit ribosomal RNA